UCAGUCGACUCCUACGGGGAGGCAGCAGUGGGGGGAAUAUUGCACAAUGGGCGCAAGCCUGAUGCAGCCAUGCCGCGUGUGUGAAGAAGGCCUUCGGGUUGUAAAGCACUUUCAGUCGUGAGGAAGGUAGUGUAGUUAAUAGCUGCAUUAUUUGACGUUAGCGACAGAAGAAGCACCGGCUAACUCCGUGCCAGCAGCCGCGGUAAUACGGAGGGUGCGAGCGUUAAUCGGAAUUACUGGGCGUAAAGCGCAUGCAGGUGGUUUGUUAAGUCAGAUGUGAAAGCCCGGGGCUCAACCUCGGAAUAGCAUUUGAAACUGGCAGACUAGAGUACUGUAGAGGGGGGUAGGAAUUUCAGGUGUAGCGGUGAAAUGCGUAGAGAUCUGAAGGAAUACCGGUGGCGAAGGCGGCCCCCUGGACAGAUACUGACACUCAGAUGCGAAAGCGUGGGGAGCAAACAGGAUUAGAUACCCUGGUAG
This 477-nucleotide ribosomal RNA is filed under the name uncultured bacterium. Its description in RNAcentral is "bacterial SSU rRNA". It matches the Rfam family "Bacterial small subunit ribosomal RNA", at positions 328 to 793 of the family's 1533-position model. The record is from RNAcentral.